CCUACGGGAGGCAGCAGUGGGGAAUAUUGGACAAUGGGGGCAACCCUGAUCCAGCCAUGCCGCGUGUGUGAAGAAGGCCCUCGGGUUGUAAAGCACUUUCAGUGAGGAAGAACGCCUGGUGGUUAAUACCCAUCAGGAAAGACAUCACUCACGGAAGAAGCACCGGCUAACUCCGUGCCAGCAGCCGCGGUAAUACGGAGGGUGCGAGCGUUAAUCGGAAUUACUGGGCGUAAAGCGCGCGUAGGUGGCUUGAUAAGCCGGUUGUGAAAGCCCCGGGCUCAACCUGGGAACGGCAUCCGGAACUGUCAAGCUAGAGUGCAGGAGAGGAAGGUAGAAUUCCCGGUGUAGCGGUGAAAUGCGUAGAGAUCGGGAGGAAUACCAGUGGCGAAGGCGGCCUUCUGGACUGACACUGACACUGAGGUGCGAAAGCGUGGGUAGCAAACAGGAUUAGAUACCCUUGUAGUC
This 465-nucleotide ribosomal RNA is filed under the name Vreelandella stevensii. RNAcentral's name for it is "partial 16S ribosomal RNA". It matches the Rfam family "Bacterial small subunit ribosomal RNA", at positions 338 to 795 of the family's 1533-position model. Lineage: Bacteria; Pseudomonadati; Pseudomonadota; Gammaproteobacteria; Oceanospirillales; Halomonadaceae. The record is from RNAcentral.